CCUACGGGUGGCAGCAGUGGGGAAUAUUGGACAAUGGGGGCAACCCUGAUCCAGCCAUGCCGCGUGUGUGAAGAAGGCCCUCGGGUUGUAAAGCACUUUCAGUGAGGAAGAACGCCUGGUGGUUAAUACCCAUCAGGAAAGACAUCACUCACAGAAGAAGCACCGGCUAACUCCGUGCCAGCAGCCGCGGUAAUACGGAGGGUGCGAGCGUUAAUCGGAAUUACUGGGCGUAAAGCGCGCGUAGGUGGCUUGAUAAGCCGGUUGUGAAAGCCCCGGGCUCAACCUGGGAACGGCAUCCGGAACUGUCAAGCUAGAGUGCAGGAGAGGAAGGUAGAAUUCCCGGUGGAGCGGUGAAAUGCGUAGAGAUCGGGAGGAAUACCAGUGGCGAAGGCGGCCUUCUGGACUGACACUGACACUGAGGUGCGAAAGCGUGGGUAGCAAACAGGAUUAGAUACCCGUGUAGUC
RNAcentral lists this ribosomal RNA (465 nucleotides) under Vreelandella stevensii. Its description in RNAcentral is "partial 16S ribosomal RNA". It matches the Rfam family "Bacterial small subunit ribosomal RNA", at positions 338 to 795 of the family's 1533-position model. The record is from RNAcentral. Lineage: Bacteria; Pseudomonadati; Pseudomonadota; Gammaproteobacteria; Oceanospirillales; Halomonadaceae.